CACGAUGUCACACCACUAAUGUAGGGCCUGGUCUUGUCUAGGUCUGUCUCAAACUGUCACUGGUUUUAACAGAAGUUUAGGCCAAUACACACUGCAGAAUCAGGUUUGGAAAAGAAACAUUGCUGGGGAGGAAUCCAAUGAAUUUAUUAAUGAGCUCAAGUUAAAAGCUGGUAAAGGACAGCAGAAUAUUUCGGGUCAACCAGAAAUUCUUGAUUUCAAAGUACAGCUCCAGCUUAUGAAAGAAACCUGAA
Molecule: long non-coding RNA, 251 nt
Organism: Empidonax traillii (willow flycatcher)
Lineage: Eukaryota; Metazoa; Chordata; Aves; Passeriformes; Tyrannidae
Exons: 3
Source: RefSeq, a predicted model, not a curated record